RNAcentral lists this ribosomal RNA (110 nucleotides) under Bacillus testis. Lineage: Bacteria; Bacillati; Bacillota; Bacilli; Caryophanales; Bacillaceae. The record is from RNAcentral.
GUAAUGAUGGCGAAGAGGUCACACCCGUUCCCAUUCCGAACACGGAAGUUAAGCUCUUCAGCGCCGAUGGUAGUUGGGGGCUUCCCCCUGCGAGAGUAGGACGUUGCCAG